GUUCGCUGCCGUGCAGGCAGCUUAGAAA
Non-coding RNA from Sphingomonas sp. Ag1, 28 nucleotides. The record is from Rfam. Lineage: Bacteria; Pseudomonadati; Pseudomonadota; Alphaproteobacteria; Sphingomonadales; Sphingomonadaceae.